GGACGCUUAGCUCAGCUGGGAGAGCACCUGCCUUACAAGCAGGGGGUCACAGGUUCGAUCCCUGUAGCGUCC
Molecule: transfer RNA, 72 nt
Filed under: Leuconostoc gasicomitatum
Lineage: Bacteria; Bacillati; Bacillota; Bacilli; Lactobacillales; Lactobacillaceae
Description: Leuconostoc gelidum subsp. gasicomitatum tRNA-Val
Rfam family: tRNA
About the family: Transfer RNA (tRNA) molecules are approximately 80 nucleotides in length. Their secondary structure includes four short double-helical elements and three loops (D, anti-codon, and T loops). Further hydrogen bonds mediate the characteristic L-shaped molecular structure. tRNAs have two regions of fundamental functional importance: the anti-codon, which is responsible for specific mRNA codon recognition, and the 3' end, to which the tRNAs corresponding amino acid is attached (by aminoacyl-tRNA synthetases). tRNAs cope with the degeneracy of the genetic code in two manners: having more than one tRNA (with a specific anti-codon) for a particular amino acid; and 'wobble' base-pairing, i.e. permitting non-standard base-pairing at the 3rd anti-codon position.
Source: RNAcentral